UACGUAGGGGGCGAGCGUUGUCCGGAAUCAUUGGGCGUAAAGCGCGCGUAGGUGGCUUCAUAAGUCCGUUGUGAAAGUCAAAGGCUCAACCUUUGAAAGCCGAUGGAUACUGUGAAGCUAGAGUACGGAAGAGGCGAGUGGAAUUCCUGGUGUAGCGGUGGAAUGCGCAGAUAUCAGGAGGAACACCAAUAGCGAAGGCAGCUCGCUGGGACGUUACUGACACUAAGGCGCGAAAGCGUGGGGAGCGAACAGG
Molecule: ribosomal RNA, 253 nt
Filed under: uncultured bacterium
Lineage: Bacteria
Description: partial 16S ribosomal RNA
Rfam family: Bacterial small subunit ribosomal RNA
Source: RNAcentral